RNAcentral lists this ribosomal RNA (201 nucleotides) under uncultured bacterium. RNAcentral describes it as "partial 16S ribosomal RNA". It matches the Rfam family "Bacterial small subunit ribosomal RNA", at positions 524 to 723 of the family's 1533-position model. The record is from RNAcentral.
UACGAAGGGGGCUAGCGUUGCUCGGAAUCACUGGGCGUAAAGGGUGCGUAGGCGGGUCUUUUAAGUCAGGGGUGAAAUCCUGGAGCUCAACUCCAGAACUGCCUUUGAUACUGAGGAUCUUGAGUUCGGGAGAGGUGAGUGGAACUGCGAGUGUAGAGGUGAAAUUCGUAGAUAUUCGCAAGAACACCAGUGGCGAAGGCG